CAACAAUUUUGUCUCAAUGGCAAAAUCAACUGCCAUAAAUCUUGGAACUAUGUUUUUACUUCUGCAUUUGGCAAUUCUACCGAGCCAAGUCAUGCCUUCUACACAAUCUAUUGGGACUGGGCAAUUUUGCCCAACUGAAUUCAAGAAAGACGGUGGGUGCGGAACAACUGGCGAUCAAGACUGUUUUAAUAUAGGGAAAGAGAUUUUUCCACCGUUCCUUUAUUUGCUUCGAGACUGUCAUUGUGCACCUUAUACGGCUAGCAAAAGCAGUUGUCAUUGCAAAAUAAUUUGUCAACCAACUUAAUUGCCAAAGCAAUGGCAAGAGAAUACUAUUUGAAACUUCAUUCCUUAUAAA
Long non-coding RNA from Coffea arabica (coffee), 355 nucleotides. RefSeq lists it as uncharacterized. NCBI's taxonomy places the organism in Eukaryota, Viridiplantae, Streptophyta, Magnoliopsida, Gentianales, Rubiaceae. The record is from RefSeq and is a predicted model, not a curated record.